Molecule: ribosomal RNA, 450 nt
Filed under: uncultured bacterium
Lineage: Bacteria
Description: partial 16S ribosomal RNA
Rfam family: Bacterial small subunit ribosomal RNA
Source: RNAcentral
GUGGGGAAUAUUCCGCAAUGGACGAAAGUCUGACGGAGCAACGCCGCGUGAGUGAUGAAGGUUUUCGGACUGUAAAGCUCUGUUGUUUAGGACGAAAGUGCCUGUUGCAAACAGUUACAGGUAUUGACGGUACUAAACGAGGAAGCCACGGCUAACUACGUGCCAGCAGCCGCGGUAAUACGUAGGUGGCAAGCGUUGUCCGGAAUUAUUGGGCGUAAAGAGCAUGUAGGCGGGAAUCUAAGUCUGUUGUGAAAAUGCGGGGCUCAACCCCGUAUUGCGAUGGAAACUGGGUUUCUUGAGUGCAGGAGAGGAAAGGGGAAUUCCCAGUGUAGCGGUGAAAUGCGUAGAUAUUGGGAGGAACACCAGUGGCGAAGGCGCCUUUCUGGACGAAAACUGACGCUGAGGCGCGAAAGCCAGGGGAGCGAACGGGAUUAGAAACCCGUGUAGUCC